Molecule: long non-coding RNA, 974 nt
Organism: Ruditapes philippinarum (Manila clam)
Lineage: Eukaryota; Metazoa; Mollusca; Bivalvia; Venerida; Veneridae
Exons: 3
Source: RefSeq, a predicted model, not a curated record
ACUAAUGCCGAGGGGAGUGGCCCUACAAAGUAGGCUGAGACGACGAGGAUGGUGUACUAGGGUGCGUGAGCCCCUAGUACAGAUAGACGGCUUGUAAGGCAGGCCUAUAUAUAGCUGGCACCAACAGCCCUUUUCAGGGCUUAACACCUUUCCUAUUGUCACAGGUUACUGUACAUUUAGGUUCUCAUUGACCGCCGUACAGUGACCUACUUUUGGCUCAAAAUUCAUAUCUUUGGCUAAUACUCCGUGGAAAUUGCAUGGAGGUAAAUUAUCACCAUUUUGUGCUUCAAAAUUAACUCUUUAAGGACAUGACUGACAUGUCCGGGGUCCGUACUCGACAGCGCAAGCUGCAUUUUGUGCCCUCGCGGGCGGAUGGACCCUCAUUAAGCUUAAACUACUGACUGACUGACAAGUUCUUGUCAUUGUAACUAAAAUGGAUCACCUCUAAAUCAAAGAACAACAAUGGCAUCUCAUACACAACAGGUUAAUUGCCUGUUCAGGGACAUGUAGAACUCAAGAUGAGUUAGAAAAGAAAACCAACAAUCUCGUACAAAAACAUCGGAAUUUGUAUUCUGAUUUUAAAAGAAAUUUAAGUCAGACAGGCGGCAGACAAAGAACACCUGCCCUUUCCUUCCUUACAGAGGCUGUUAUGGCCGUUGUAGGGAAGUGUCUGUGUGGCUGGGGUAUGUUUGGCAGAGCAUACAGAUUCCACCAUGAUGGCCAUAGUUGACAACAGGUGAUUUAUAUUUUGAUGUUCAAUUUCUUCCUAUUUUUUUAAAAUGAGUAUGCAUACCAAAUAUUUCAAUAUUCAAAUCAUAUAAUUAUAAACAAUUAUACUAAUUUAAUGUACAUGUAGGCUCAUGGAAGCAGUGACAUUAUGAUCAUAAAAUUUAUAAGGGUUAUCACAGGAGUACCUUGAUCAGAAACUUGUAUUUGACUCAAGUUAAAUUUACUAGGUAAAGAUCUUAUGAGGC